AGAACGAACGCUGGCGGCAGGCUUAACACAUGCAAGUCGAACGCUCGUAGCAAUACGGGAGUGGCAGACGGGUGAGUAACGCGUGGGAACAUACCCUCCGGUUCGGAAUAGCUCAGGGAAACUUGGAUUAAUACCGGAUACGGCUGAGAGGCGAAAGAUUUAUCGCCGGAGGAUUGGCCCGCGUUCGAUUAGCUUGUUGGUGAGGUAACGGCUCACCAAGGCGAUGAUCGAUAGCUGGUCUGAGAGGAUGAUCAGCCACACUGGGACUGAGACACGGCCCAGACUCCUACGGGAGGCAGCAGUGGGGAAUAUUGGACAAUGGGCGCAAGCCUGAUCCAGCAAAUGCCGCGUGGAUGAAGAAAGGUCUUCGGAUUGUAAAAGUCCUUUCGACGGGGACGAUGAUGACGGUACCCGUAGAAGAAGCCCCGGCUAACUUCGUGCCAGCAGCCGC
Molecule: ribosomal RNA, 451 nt
Filed under: uncultured bacterium
Lineage: Bacteria
Description: SSU rRNA
Rfam family: Bacterial small subunit ribosomal RNA
Source: RNAcentral